Non-coding RNA from Dacryopinax sp., 101 nucleotides. The record is from Rfam. NCBI's taxonomy places the organism in Eukaryota, Fungi, Basidiomycota, Dacrymycetes, Dacrymycetales, Dacrymycetaceae.
GCUUGGGUGGGUUAGUGGUAUACUGGGUCGUUGCCAAAGCGCAUUGCAUUGCAGUGUGCAGUUGCUUCGACCCGACCCGGGUUCGAUUCCCGGUCCAAGCA